Molecule: long non-coding RNA, 739 nt
Organism: Herpailurus yagouaroundi (jaguarundi)
Lineage: Eukaryota; Metazoa; Chordata; Mammalia; Carnivora; Felidae
Exons: 4
Source: RefSeq, a predicted model, not a curated record
ACAAGAGCGUGCGUGGCCCCCGGCUCUUCCGUCCCCGCCGGCCCGGACAGCGGGCAGGGGCGGCGGGGCUGCGGAAGGUCGGGCGCCUGCGCAGGCGCGUCGGGUGCCCAGCAGAAGUCCCAGGGUCCCAGGACCCGGCUGGACGAGGCUCUGCAGAAUUGACUUGUCAAUGCGUUUUGGAUGGAUGUGAACAGAAGCAAGGACAAGGAAUGCCUAGGCUUGCCACUUGACGGAGGAGUCAAGGGUGAGCGAACAAAGGUCAGAGAUUUUUCAGAGCUCCCUGGAAUGAAGCCACCCCACCGCUUUGAAUGAUAACUCCUGCUCAGUCUGCCUGUCCCAGAGUCGAAAAGUCCUCCAAGAAAGGCGAAUGGACACCAAGGAGCAAAAACAACCCACAUCCCUGACGCUCCGGGCACAAACGAUAGAUGUUGGAACUUGAUCACUAAAAGAAUGGCUGUCCAGGAAGUAGAAAGAGUGCAGGCUUCAGAGUCAGACUGUAUUAUUGGGGAUCAGAUCCAGUGGCAAACAGAAUCACCUCCACGACUUUCAGGGCCCAGUGCACGAUGAAAACACAGAGCCCUUUGUUCAAAUAUUAAUCAGAAUUUCAAGAUGGCGACAGCAGAUGGUAAACCAGGUACAGGGCCCUUCCAGGUGGGGAACCCUGGGCCACCACGCAAGAAGCACACCCAUGAAGUUGAUUCUGACUGCAGAUAACAGUAAACAAAUACCAGAGAUGCAA